This 592-nucleotide ribosomal RNA is filed under the name Streptomyces sp. RNAcentral's name for it is "bacterial SSU rRNA". It matches the Rfam family "Bacterial small subunit ribosomal RNA", at positions 273 to 873 of the family's 1533-position model. The record is from RNAcentral. Lineage: Bacteria; Bacillati; Actinomycetota; Actinomycetes; Kitasatosporales; Streptomycetaceae.
GCGACGACGGGUAGCCGGCCUGAGAGGGCGACCGGCCACACUGGGACUGAGACACGGCCCAGACUCCUACGGGAGGCAGCAGUGGGGAAUAUUGCACAAUGGGCGAAAGCCUGAUGCAGCGACGCCGCGUGAGGGAUGACGGCCUUCGGGUUGUAAACCUCUUUCAGCAGGGAAGAAGCGCAAGUGACGGUACCUGCAGAAGAAGCGCCGGCUAACUACGUGCCAGCAGCCGCGGUAAUACGUAGGGCGCAAGCGUUGUCCGGAAUUAUUGGGCGUAAAGAGCUCGUAGGCGGCUUGUCACGUCGGAUGUGAAAGCCCGGGGCUUAACCCCGGGUCUGCAUUCGAUACGGGCUAGCUAGAGUGUGGUAGGGGAGAUCGGAAUUCCUGGUGUAGCGGUGAAAUGCGCAGAUAUCAGGAGGAACACCGGUGGCGAAGGCGGAUCUCUGGGCCAUUACUGACGCUGAGGAGCGAAAGCGUGGGGAGCGAACAGGAUUAGAUACCCUGGUAGUCCACGCCGUAAACGUUGGGAACUAGGUGUUGGCGACAUUCCACGUCGUCGGUGCCGCAGCUAACGCAUUAAGUUCCCCGCUGG